AAUACACUCAGAUUAAGUCAAGCUUGGUGAAAAUGUUCAAACGCAGUGUGUCUCGCCAGGAUGUGUACCGACAGCUACGGGCACGAACGUUGAAACCAAACGAAUCAUGCCUUAGCUACUUGGUUAGGAUGCAAUCAAUAGCCGCACAAUCCGACAUAGAGGAAAGAGAGCUUGUCGACAUUAUAGUGGAUGGAAUACCCGAUGACACUUUAGCCACCACAUUUCUGUACAGUGCUGAUACCAUUGACGAACUGGUCAAGCGAAUGGACCGGUAUGAACAACGGCGCUAUUUAAUGCGCCCAAAAACAACAAAAGCUGCCAAUACUACUACAGCCAACAAACUGAAGUCAACUGAAGCCAGUGUAGGUGUGGCCGUUAAAGCAACAGACGCAGAAGUACGCUGUUUUAAUUGCUCUCAAUUUGGUCACUAUCAGGACCGCUGCCCAAAACCAAAACGACCUGCAAACUCGUGCUUCAUAUGUGCAGAGGUGGGUCAUUUUCAUUAAAACUGCCCCCGAAAGAAGAAGAAUGCUGCUGCAAUAGUGGGAGAAGCUGACGAACGUGUGGACGCCUAUCAAAUGCCAUAUUAGUUGUAUAAAAAAUCCAUAAUCCCGUUCUUGUUUAAAGAAAAAAAAAGUGACUUCAUAUCGCGGUGUGGGUAACUAUAAAUUAAAUAAAGAAUCUGUGGUGCCACUGCUGAUAGGACGGGAUUUCUUAAAUAAAAUGAAAAUUAAUCUAUGCCAAGAAAAAAAUGUUUUUGUUAACUACCAUAAAAAUACUUUAUUGAAAAUGAA
Lucilia cuprina (Australian sheep blowfly) is the source of this 794-nucleotide long non-coding RNA. RefSeq lists it as uncharacterized. The transcript has 3 exons. The record is from RefSeq and is a predicted model, not a curated record. NCBI's taxonomy places the organism in Eukaryota, Metazoa, Arthropoda, Insecta, Diptera, Calliphoridae.